CGGGGAUGGGAGGAGCUUGCUCCGAACAUUCGAGUGGCGAACGGGUGAGUAACGCGUAGGCAACCUGCCUUUCACAGGGGGAUAACACAGGGAAACCGGUGCUAAGACCGCAUAAAGUAAACAGGUAGCAUUACCUGAAUACCAAAGGAGAAAUCCGGUGGAAGAUGGGCCUGCGUCCGAUUAGCUAGUUGGAGGGGUAAAGGCCCACCAAGGCGACGAUCGGUAGCCGGACUGAGAGGUUGAACGGCCACAUUGGGACUGAGAUACGGCCCAGACUCCUACGGGAGGCAGCAGUGGGGAAUAUUGCGCAAUGGGCGCAAGCCUGAUCCAGCAAUGCCGCGUGUGUGAAGAAGGCCUGCGGGUUGUAAAGCACUUUCAGUAGAGAAGAAAAGCAGAGGAUUAAUACUCCUUUGUCUUGACGUUACCUACAGAAGAAGCACCGGCUAACUCCGUGCCAGCAGCCGCGGUAAUACGGAGGGUGCGAGCGUUAAUCGGAAUUACUGGGCGUAAAGCGCGCGUAGGCGGUUUGAUAAGUCGGAUGUGAAAGCCCUGGGCUCAACCUGGGAAUUGCAUUCGAAACUGUCUGACUAGAGUAUGGGAGAGGGAAGUGGAAUUUCCGGUGUAGCGGUGAAAUGCGUAGAUAUCGGAAGGAACACCAGUGGCGAAAGCGACUUCCUGGACCAAUACUGACGCUGAUGUGCGAAAGCGUGGGGAGCAAACAGGAUUAGAUACCCUGGUAGUCCACGCCGUAAACGAUGAGAACUAGAUGUCGGGAGGGUUAGCCUUUCGUGUCGUAGCUAA
This 801-nucleotide ribosomal RNA is filed under the name uncultured bacterium. RNAcentral describes it as "bacterial SSU rRNA". It matches the Rfam family "Bacterial small subunit ribosomal RNA", at positions 67 to 855 of the family's 1533-position model. The record is from RNAcentral.